This 253-nucleotide ribosomal RNA is filed under the name uncultured bacterium. RNAcentral describes it as "partial 16S ribosomal RNA". It matches the Rfam family "Bacterial small subunit ribosomal RNA", at positions 524 to 776 of the family's 1533-position model. The record is from RNAcentral.
UACGUAGGGGGCAAGCGUUGUCCGGAAUUAUUGGGCGUAAAGAGCGCGUAGGCGGUCCGAUAAGUCGGCUGUGAAAGUCAGGGGCUCAACCCUUGAAAGCCGGCCGAUACUGUCGGACUAGAGUCCGGAAGAGGCAAGUGGAAUUCCCGGUGUAGCGGUGAAAUGCGCAGAUAUCGGGAGGAACACCAAUGGCGAAGGCAGCUUGCUGGGACGGUACUGACGCUGAGGCGCGAAAGCUAGGGGAGCAAACAGG